RNAcentral lists this long non-coding RNA (987 nucleotides) under Marmota monax (woodchuck). The record is from RNAcentral. Lineage: Eukaryota; Metazoa; Chordata; Mammalia; Rodentia; Sciuridae.
AUGGCAUAGAUGUUGUUCAGAUUUACUUUGAAAGAAUCAAGUGUGUGAACCCAAUGGUGAAUGGAAUUGUGAAGCACAGGUGAGCUCUUUGACAUCCCCAAGAACACAGCUCAUCCUAUGCUUUUGGACACUUCUUUUCUGUUAAAACAAUGGCUCUUCUCCAGGUUGUUGCACUACCACUGUAUCUGUACAGAAUUCUAUUUCGGCACCUGUGGCCUUCUUUUUGUGCUUUUUCAAUUAUGUGUCUGUAUUUCCCACCAGAUAUGAUAUUGAAUGCAAGGAACUUAUUUCCUUUAGUCUUUUUAUAUAUCUAGCAUACAAGACAUCACUUGAAAUAAGGUAGACAUCACUGAAGACUUGUUUAAAUAAUUUAAUAUUUUGUAAUAACAUUGAGUGGUAAAACAUCUGCUUCUCAUCUGCCUAGCAUAUAUAUGGCUUUUGUAUAUCAGGUGUCACAAAACUGUUUCAAGGCAGUUGUGAUGUAUUAGCAAAAAAAUUCUUACUCCUAUGUCUUAGUCAUCCCAGACAUUAUGUACCUCCUGAUGUGAGUAUACCACACCUUCUUUGAAAUGUAUUUGCCAAAAUUUUGAACCUAAAUUUAACCAUGCUUCUAGACAAUAUUCCUCAUCUAUAGAAAAUAUAGACUAUAGACUGAGAAAUAUACUAUUCUACAGCACAGAGAUGAGAUCAACAGAAUCCUGACUACAGGAAACUCUCCAGGACAAAUGACUCAGUCUCUUCAGUAAAUAUAUUACAGGGAUGAAACACAGAGAUGGAGGAUGAACCUAUCGGUUGAAAGAGUCUUAUUCAUAUUUGCAUGAAUCUUAUUUGGAUCCUUAUUUGACCAAACUGUAAAAUGAGUAUAUUUAUGAGACAAUCAGGAAAAUUUGAACAUUGACUGGAUAUAUGAUAUUAGUUGUGAUAAUGGUAUUAAGAAAAUAAGAAUUCUUAUCCACAUCCAAGUAUUUACAGUUGAAAUGAUGUCUG